CCUACGGGAGGCAGCAGUAGGGAAUAUUGCUCAAUGGGGGAAACCCUGAAGCAGCAACGCCGCGUGGAGGAUGAAGGUUUUCGGAUUGUAAACUCCUUUUGUUAGAGAAGAUAAUGACGGUAUCUAACGAAUAAGCACCUGCUAACUCCGUGCCAGCAGCCGCGGUAAUACGGAGGGUGCAAGCGUUACUCGGAAUCACUGGGCGUAAAGAGCGCGUAGGCGGGAUAGCAAGUCAGAUGUGAAAUCCUAUGGCUUAACCAGAGAACUGCAUUUGAAACUGUUAUUCUAGAGUAUGGGAGAGGUAGGUGGAAUUCUUGGUGUAGGGGUAAAAUGCGUAGAGAUCAAGAGGAAUACUCAUUGCGAAGGCGACCUGCUAGAACAUAACUGACGCUGAUGCGCGAAAGCGCGGGGAGCAAACAGGAUUAGAUACCCUGGUAGUC
This 440-nucleotide ribosomal RNA is filed under the name uncultured bacterium. RNAcentral's name for it is "partial 16S ribosomal RNA". It matches the Rfam family "Bacterial small subunit ribosomal RNA", at positions 338 to 795 of the family's 1533-position model. The record is from RNAcentral.